Molecule: long non-coding RNA, 6210 nt
Organism: Cercocebus atys (sooty mangabey)
Lineage: Eukaryota; Metazoa; Chordata; Mammalia; Primates; Cercopithecidae
Exons: 3
Source: RefSeq, a predicted model, not a curated record
AUUCAAGGGAUUCGCUCACCUCGGCCUCCCAAAGGGCUGGGAUUAUAGGCGUGAGCUACUGUGCCCGGCCUCCUUGAGUAUUUUUUGUACAACAGGUAAGUUGGCAAUAAAAUUCUCUUACUUUUCUUUUAUCUGAAAAACAUCUUUGUCUUCAAGCCUUAAAGCACUUUUUGCGAAUAGAGAAUACUGAGGAUUUUUUGUCUUUCAGCACUUUAAAGGUAUUGUUUCACUGUCUUCUGGCCUCCACGGUUUCUGAGAAGUCAGCCAUCAGUCACAUACAAUGUACGUAAUGGAUUCCUUUUCCUUUGGUCAUUUUUAAUAUUUUCUUUUUCUUUCGUUUUCAGCUGUGUGACUGUGAUGGGUUUAGGUGUGGUACUUUUUGCAUUGAUUUUGCUAGGGUUUCAUUGAGAUUCUUAGGUAUGUAAUUUAAGGUUUUUCACCAAAUUUGGGAAAUUUUAGUCAUUAUUUCCUCAAUUAUUUUUCUUCUGCCUCAUUCUCUUUCUCCUCUUCCUCUGGCACUCCAAGUACAUGUAUGUAGACCUCCUGAUAUUAUCACAAGGCACUGGUAAUUCUUUUUAAAAUAUUUUCCCAUUUUUCAGACUAGAUAUCUAUUGAUCCAUCUCCAAGUCCACUACCCUUUCUUCUGGACCUCUGAUCCACUUUUAGUCUCAUCCAGUAAAUUUUUCAUUUCAUUUCCAGUAGUAGAAUUUUCAAUGGGUAAGUUUUUUAUAAUUUCCAUUUCUCUGUUGGGAUUUCCUGUUUGUUCACUUUAUCCACCUUUUAUUAAAGUCUGUGAACAUAUUUAUUAUGGGUAACUUGAAGAACUUGCCUGUUUGUUCCAACUUCAGGAGCAUUUCAGGGUCUACUGACUGCUUUCUUCCCCUUAAGUAUAUGUCAUAUUUUCUGACUCUGUAUGUCCACUAACUUAUGAUUGUAUGUUAGAUACUGUAUGAUACACUGCAGAAAGUCUGGAUUAUGCUGUCUUUCUUUAAAGAUGUAAAGUCUGUUCUGGUAGUCAGGGAGAUUACUGGCAGAUCCUUUUGGUGCUACCAAGCUUGGCUCAAACCUUUCUUCAGUUCUAUUUCCAUUUUGAACUUAGCCUUAGGGGUGUGCCUCCCCUAAACAACCCCCCAACUCCACCUCCCACCCCCCACCCGCAUCUGACUCAAGAGCACAGUCCUACUUCUAAGUUGUGACGUUCUGGGAUCUCAACUGAAUGCCUGAGGUGUUCAGGGAAGUUUCUUCGUUCAGGUUAAGCUGGAUCUGCAACAUCUCCCAGAACUGAAUGACCUCUGGCAUCAUCAUUGGGUUCUUAGCCCUACAGCAGGUGAUCUCUGCCAGGCCUCAUGAAGAGUCUCACUCUGCACAUGCACACCCAGCUCUCAGCCAACAAUCCAACUAGAAUCCUUACAAAGAACUCUGCUGUCUUUGCCCCAUCACAGGGCUUCCAUUUCUCUAGUUCCUUGCCCUGCAAACUCCAACUAUUUCAGUGGCAUAGAAUUCUAAAGUCUGCCCCGAGCUGACUAAAAUCACCCUUCCAUUUGGGCUCCACCACUCCAUGCCGAGACUAGAUGGUAACUGCAGGCAGAAAGCCAGGGGCUCCUCAUGGCGUUUCCUCUCUCAAGAAUCAAAGUCCUAUCCUGUCUGUCCAAAGUCUGAAAAUGGCAGGGAUUUAAUAUCUUCCAUGAGUCUCAGUACCCUUUGUAUAUUCAGUUGCUUCACAUGUUUUACACAGUUUCGUAGUUGUUUUUGUCAAGAGAGCAAGUCAUUACCAUUAUUCUGCCAUGGCCAGAAGCAGAAGUCAAUUAUGAUUAUUAAACUACAAAAGGGUAUUCUUUCUCAUUUUCUGAAGAUGCUAGCCUAAGAGUAAACAUCUUCUCUGUGAGAAGUGUCUUUCAGUUUCACCCCUCGUUUCCUCUGUCCUUCACAUGUUACUACUACCUUUUAUCGGUUUCACUAGGUAGGUAACACGUAAGAGUGAACCUUCUGGGGCUAUUAUUUUAACUCUAUCAUCUAGCUUUAAUAAAGCAUUGAGAAGAAUUAUGAAAAGCAGCAAAAAAUGUGGCAAGCUUUCUGAGCAGGGUGCUAUGAGACAGGGAUUCCAGCCCUUGCUUUGUUAUUGACAUGCUGUACGUUCCUGGGCAUUCAGGUCUCUACUUUGAUCCUGGUGUCUCCAGGUCCGAUGAAAAAAAAUGAUCUUAUAAAUAACUAUGUACUACAGGUAUGGUACCAAUUCCUAAAUCGACCAUGUCAGGGCAACAGAAAAUGUUGGAAAGAUGGAAUAGGAACUGCUGACACUUGUGAAGCAAUUUAGUGAGCAAGUUAAGAAACAUAUCCUGUUUAAGGUAGCAUCUUACAAUGUGACACCAUGAAUUGCACUCAGCACCUGGUAUACUGCUUAGGUAGCAGGUACAGUGUAAGUGGUGAUUGUAUGAAUAACUAUGCAUGGAUGAAUAAAUUAAUUAAUGAGGAAGAAGGGCAUCAACUCAUACAGGAUAUUGAUAUUAAAUCCUAAGGCAUUUGGCUUUGGAUUUUGAACACAGUAAAUGCUCAAUAAACAACAACUGUGUUGACUUGAAUUAAAAGACGUGCUUUCCAUGUAUCCAGACCCCAACAGAAAGCAGAGUGGGCUGAAAAUAAAUCAUAGAGCUAUACUAGAAGACACUCUACUUAGGAGAUCUAGUUCAAAAACUUGCUGGGGUGACUUGGGAGAGUUAACUUUCUUCUGUGGGUUUUAGUUUUCUUUUCUGUAAACAGACUAAUCUCACUUCUCUUUCUUUCUCAUUGGGAUGUUUGUAAAUGAAAGGGUCCUUCACUAACCAGAAAUGAAUUAUGUUUGUAUAAUACUGACAUUUCAUGAGAAUUUGUGUUAAGAAGGCAGGGUGUUUUGAGUACAAAGGAUUAUGUACAAAGGAUUAUGAAAUCCUAUUAACAAUGCUGCAGUAGGCUUUUAAAAUAUAAUAUUUUAUAUGUGCUAUCAUUAGUUGACUCCUGGAACCUCAACUAUCACUCCAAAAACCAAAAUGGAAAUUGGAUCUGCCAGAGAUUCUAUUAUUCUCAACUACUUUGCCUGAGAGACAUUUCUUUAAAAAGUUUACACUAAAAAAGCUCAGCCAGCCACAAGACGCUAAAGUGCCUUUUCCUUUCCAGUUCACUCACAGUUCAGUUUCAGCUCUUGCUGACACGGCCUGCCUAAGCCUGCCUGCUCUGUGAAGUCCAAAUGUUUAUCAUACCAGAGGGAAGACAUGAAGAACAAACAACUCAGGUGAGUGCACUGCAAGAAGGUGGCCAUCUGCAAGCCAGGAAAAGGGUCCUUGCCAGAAAUUGAACUGACGGGCAUCUUGAUCUUGGACUUCCCAGCCUCCAGAACUCUUUGAAAAUCUACCAUUCGGCCCUGUUAGUCUUUCCGGCUGAUCCUUCCCAUCCACAAACAGAUGCUGCUCACUGGAUUCAGCACUUCCAUCAAAAUCCCCAAAAGCUUUCAUGCUUAGCAAUGAACAGACAUCAAAAAGGCAGCAACUAUCCUCUUUACUGCCAUUUCCUCUUCUAGGGCCUGCGACAUGACCAGGAUAAAGGAGGAGGUUAAAAAAAAAAAAGGUAAUAAAAAUGAAUAAACAAAGAGUGCUGAGAAGCUGAGAUGUAUCCAGCUCUGCUCAAGUGUGACAGAUGUCUUCAACUAACCCUCGAUCCAGUUAAGAGGAUAAGACAGAGAAAAUUAAAUAUCAGAUUAUUUAUUAUAUACCUUAAGUGUUGCAUGAGACUUCAGAAAAAAGAGAAAUUUUGUGGGCUGUAGAGGUCAGAAAAGGCUUCCUGAAGAAAUACUGCAUGCACAGGGCUGGGUUUUAGAGGAUUUCACGGAAAGAAAACAAAGGUUUGGAAAUGGGGAAGCCAAGUGGUGAGUGCAGAUCCAGACUAAAUCAUUUUUAUGGAGUGGAAGGAGCCAUGCUUCAAGAGACAGUAGCCAGACCAUGGAGAGCUCCACCUGUGGAAAACAAUGAAAAGUUGUCCUGGCAAUGGACAGAAUUUUAUAUCCACAAAGUACUGGUAUAGCAUCCUCUCAUCCCACCUUGCUAUGAGGCAAGCUGUGUUUAAGCAUUCGGUCAUGUGUAGGGAUGAACUUAGUACUUUGUUCAUUCCAGGGAUCUGAUAAUCAUGAAUGUCCCAACCAAGAAGCCCGGGACAACAAACAAGAAUUUUAUCAACUGUAGCAAAACGUGUCAACCUUCUCUUCCUUAGGAAUCUCUAUUCCUUCACUCCCCAAUAAGUGGAGAAUAAAAGUACACAGUCUUCAUUCUGUGGCUUUGGAAGUGCUCUAAGGUACAUCUGAUUUGAAUGCAUCCUCUCUCCAGGAAAAGGAAUUCCAUCACUGAGUACACUUCUUAAAUCACAGAAUAUGUUUCAUUGCCCUGCUCAUAAAAAUACAUCCAACCACUUUUAUCCAUCUCCUCACCUCCCUUAGGAAGCCUCUAUCUUGACUUGAUACACAGUUGUCUGAUCUAGCAAAUACAGUAAAAAAUGAGUAAGAGUGGUAACUUCCAAAAAACUAGGCAGGGGAGCCCUGCGAGGGGGCGCUCAUCUUCCUUGCUCCUGGUUCUCCUCCUUGGUGUCUUUGGUGUGCAGUCUGUGCACAUGGGACCCAGAGUUGAUUUCCAAAUAGGAAAGAGCUCCAAGUGUUCCUGUUUCUCCCAGGGUCACACAACAAGUGAAAGUAGAUAGUCUUUUCUCUCUUCUAGCACUCGUGCUGAUGAAGAGGGGGGGCAGAGUAGUUGCAAAGAAUGCACUGUGAGUCAACCCUGGCAUUUGGCAGAGUCUGAACUGGUUAACUGGAGUGAAAAUAAUUCUUCUUGUCUGUAAACUAUUACGAAAUGCUCUGAAGAGCCCAGUGACUAGUUAUUGAGGUAUAAAAUCCAAGAAAGACCACGAACCAGCAUAAGUUCUAGAUCAAACAUUGUAGUCUGUACAAGCCACACUUCUAACACAUCUAGGUUCACUAUGCCUUUUGAGGUGCCAGUGGAAUUCCAAAGCACGCUAUAGCACUUUUCAUUUUCCAGUGCUCUUGACUAUGAAAGCUCACACACGGCCAUUCUUCUCUCUGAACAUCUCUGCAAAUAAAAUAUUAUUCCUAUUUUACAGGUGGAAAAACUAAGUCCCAGUGAAGUUAUGUGACUCACACAAAGUAAUGCAGCAUCAUUAGAACCCAGGGUUUCCAGGUUCCCAAGCCCGUGAACACCAGCAAGCUGUAUACAUCAGAAUCAUCAGUGGGACCUUAAACAGUGCACAUGUCUGGGUUUCACCUGUACAUAUUUGGACUUAAGAGGUUUGAGGAGUGGUCUGGGCACCUGUCUUUAGAUUGCAAUGGGCCCUCUCAGUGAGAAACAUUACAUAGAAUUCCCAAGUUGAAAGUCAUUCUUGAAAGCUCUUCAGUAGAUUUUCUUGCUGUCCAGGAGAACCACCCCAGAAUGUAUCCCAUCAUAGCUACAAUUGUUGGAAGGGUGCUCUUCACUGAGUUUUACUUGUAAUUCACUCUUCCCUACACAGAAGAGACCUCACACAUCACAGUUGUCCACUGCAGUCCUAGCUAGUUCAACAGACGCUUACUGAUCACACCAGGCUCCAAGGAUAAUGAAAUAUGACACGGAGGAAUGUAGAACAAUGAAUAAUGUAAUGGGCUGUGGGCUCAGUACAGAAGCACUGUAGACUCAGAGAACCAGGGGUCACUUGGUGAUGGGCUCUGGUUCUAUUAUCACAAUUAGCCAGAAAGCACUGUAGUCCCUGUUUGUCAACUGCAAGGAACUUAUUAAUCUCUCAGACCAGUGAAUCUGCAUGCAAACCAAGCCAAGAUCCAAGCUCUCAGCUGAUUAGUCACACCAUGUUUGGUUCACUGUGUCAUAAACAUUUCAGUAGCAAACAUGAUUAUCUUCCAAGGACUGAUUUCUGGCAUUCAGAGUCUGAACACUCAGGGAGAGGGGAAGACUAGAAGCACCCUAGCUUGAGAAUGUGUCAGCCUUUCUCCUGGCUCCCAUGCAAUUUCUAAUCCAGGAUAAGGGUCUAUAAAAUGCUUUGCUGAUUACAGUAAAUUAAAACAAUUAAUUUAUUGAGUAUCUAAAUGCUUUAUGGAGGUCAUCUCGGCUAGGAGAGGUGGCUUAUGCCUAUAAUCCCAACUCUUUGGGAGGCUGAGGUGGGCGUAUCACCUGAGGUCGGGAGUUUGAG